ACCACCAACACCCAAAGCUGGAAUUCUACAUAAACUAUUCCUUG
This 44-nucleotide transfer RNA is filed under the name Grampus griseus (Risso's dolphin). Its description in RNAcentral is "partial tRNA-Pro". The record is from RNAcentral. Lineage: Eukaryota; Metazoa; Chordata; Mammalia; Artiodactyla; Delphinidae.